UACCUGCAGCUCGAGUGGUAACCGCUAUUAUUGGGCCUAAAGCGUCCGUAGCCGGUUUGGUAAAUAUCUGGGUAAAUCGUGAGGCUUAACUUCACGAAUUUCGGAUGGACUGCCAGACUUGGGAUCGGGGGAGGUCAGAGGUACUCCAGGGGUAGCGGUGAAAUGUUGUAAUCCUUGGAGGACCACCGGUAGCGAAGGCGUCUGACUAGAACGAGUCCGACGGUGAGGGACGAAGCCCUGGGGCGCAAACCGGAUUAGAUACCCGGGUAGUCCAGGGUGCAAACAAUGUGGGCUUUGUAUUGGAGGUUCCACGUGGGCGUCCAGUGCAGAAGAGAAGUUGUUAAGCCCACCGCCUGGGAAGUACGGUCGCAAGGCUGAAACUUAAAGGAAUUGGCGGGGGAGCACAGCAACGGGAGGAGCGUGCGGUUU
Molecule: ribosomal RNA, 429 nt
Filed under: uncultured archaeon
Lineage: Archaea
Description: bacterial SSU rRNA
Rfam family: Archaeal small subunit ribosomal RNA
Source: RNAcentral